This 497-nucleotide ribosomal RNA is filed under the name uncultured bacterium. Its description in RNAcentral is "partial 16S ribosomal RNA". It matches the Rfam family "Bacterial small subunit ribosomal RNA", at positions 28 to 507 of the family's 1533-position model. The record is from RNAcentral.
GAUGAACGCUGGCGGCGUGCCUAAUACAUGCAAGUCGAGCGAACAGACGAGGAGCUUGCUCCUCUGACGUUAGCGGCGGACGGGUGAGUAACACGUGGAUAACCUACCUAUAAGACUGGGAUAACCUCGGGAAGCCGGAGCUAAUACCGGAUAAUAUAUUGAACCGCAUGGUUCAAUAGUGAAAGACGGUUUUGCUGUCACUUAUAGAUGGAUCCGCGCCGCAUUAGCUAGUUGGUAAGGUAACGGCUUACCAAGGCGACGAUGCGUAGCCGACCUGAGAGGGUGAUCGGCCACACUGGAACUGAGACACGGUCCAGACUCCUACGGGAGGCAGCAGUAGGGAAUCUUCCGCAAUGGGCGAAAGCCUGACGGAGCAACGCCGCGUGAGUGAUGAAGGUCUUCGGAUCGUAAAACUCUGUUAUUAGGGAAGAACAAAUGUGUAAGUAACUAUGCACGUCUUGACGGUACCUAAUCAGAAAGCCACGGCUAACUACGUG